Spodoptera litura is the source of this 574-nucleotide non-coding RNA. NCBI's taxonomy places the organism in Eukaryota, Metazoa, Arthropoda, Insecta, Lepidoptera, Noctuidae. The record is from RefSeq and is a predicted model, not a curated record.
ACCUCAUGUCAAAUUGUCAAUUGCCUGAUGUCACGCUGUUUUCCUUUUCAAAAGUCAUUUUCCGUCAUUGAGAUUAUUGAUUUUACUGUUUUAAUAAAAACUAACGUUGCUACGUUACAUUUCGUAAAACCACCAAGUAUUUCUCAAAGUAUAUAAUGGGCAAAAAAGGUGUUGUUGCGACUGUGAAAGAUUUCUAUUACGAUCCCUUCAAGUGGUCACUAGUAAAGAGCGUGGGCAUAUUCGCAGCCGGCGUAGUGAUCGCGAGCGAGUGCGCCGGGCUUGAGAUAAUGCCCGCGAUGCCGCAAUAAACACAUCAUACUCCAAUCAAUUCUAUUCUUCUAAGUUUAAGAAUUAUACAUAAAAAAUGUUAAAUUAUUUAUUGUUCUUUUCGCUCCUCGGAGUAAGUGUUUGUCAAAAGAGGCCGAAUAUAGUUUUGGUAUUGACAGAUGAUCAAGAUGUUGUGUUGGGGGGCAUGACGCCCAUGAAGAGCGUGCAACGGUUUAUUGCGGAUGAAGGUGUCACGUUUACUAAUUCGGUAAGUUUAAUUACUCAGCUGUUAAAAAACAAUAAAAUA